AUGAAAUUCAGAAAAAAUCACCGAAACGGUAGAAAAUUUUUUCGCGAGACCCGAACAUUCCGUGCGUAUGUGCCCCUUGCUUUAAAAUUUCUUGAUAUAGGGGUAAGGGGCACAUACGCAGAAUCUGGCUUGCUGCCAGUCGUU
Non-coding RNA from Caenorhabditis elegans, 144 nucleotides. The record is from Ensembl. NCBI's taxonomy places the organism in Eukaryota, Metazoa, Nematoda, Chromadorea, Rhabditida, Rhabditidae.